Molecule: ribosomal RNA, 468 nt
Filed under: uncultured bacterium
Lineage: Bacteria
Description: partial 16S ribosomal RNA
Rfam family: Bacterial small subunit ribosomal RNA
Source: RNAcentral
GAUGAACGCUGGCGGCGUGCUUAACACAUGCAAGUCGAACGGAAAGGCCCUGGUUUUGUGGGGUGCUCGAGUGGCGAACGGGUGAGUAACACGUGAGUAACCUGCCCUUGACUUUGGGAUAACUUUAGGAAACUGGGGCUAAUACCGGAUAGGAGCUCCUGCUGCAUGGUGGUGGUUGGAAAGUUUCCGCGGUUGGGGAGGGACUCGCCGUUUAUCAGCUUGUGGGUGGGGUUGGGGCAUACCAAGGCUUUGACGGGUAGGCGGCCGGAGAGGGUGACCGGCCACAUGGGGACUGAGAUACGCCCCAGACUCCUACGGGGGGCAACAGUGGGGAAUAUUACACAAGGGGCGGAAGCCAGAUGCAGCAACGCCGCGUGCGGGAAGACGGCCCUCGGGGUGUAAACCGCUUUCGCCUGUGACGAAGCGUGAGUGACGGUAAUUGGUAAAGAAGCACCGGCUAACUACGUG